GAUGAACGCUGGCGGCGUGCCUAAUACAUGCAAGUCGAGCGAACGGACGAGAAGCUUGCUUCUCUGAUGUUAGCGGCGGACGGGUGAGUAACACGUGGAUAACCUACCUAUAAGACUGGGAUAACUUCUGGAAACCGGAGCUAAUACCGGAUAAUAUUUUGAACCGCAUGGUUCAAAAGUGAAAGACGGUCUUGCUGUCACUUAUAGAUGGAUCCGCGCUGCAUUAGCUAGUUGGUAAGGUAACGGCUUACCAAGGCAACGAUGCAUAGCCGACCUGAGAGGGUGAUCGGCCACACUGGAACUGAGACACGGUCCAGACUCCUACGGGAGGCAGCAGUAGGGAAUCUUCCGCAAUGGGCGAAAGCCUGACGGAGCAACGCCGCGUGAGUGAUGAAGGUCUUCGGAUCGUAAAACUCUGUUAUUAGGGAAGAACAUAUGUGUAAGUAACUGUGCACAUCUUGACGGUACCUAAUCAGAAAGCCACGGCUAACUACGUGCCAGCAGCCGCGGUAAUACGUAGGUGGCAAGCGUUAUCCGGAAUUAUUGGGCGUAAAGCGCGCGUAGGCGGUUUUUUAGUCUGAUGUGAAAGCCCACGGCUCAACCGUGGAGGGUCAUUGGAAACUGGAAAACUUGAGUGCAGAAAAGGAAAGUGGAAUUCCAUGUGUAGCGGUGAAAUGCGCAAAGAUAUGGAGGAACACCAGUGGCGAAGGCGACUUUCUGGUCUGUAACUGACGCUGAUGUGCGAAAGCGUGGGGAUCAAACAGGAUUAGAUACCCUGGUAGUCCACGCCCUAAACGAUGAGUGCUAAGUGUUAGGGGGUUUCCGCCCCUUAGUGCUGCAGCUAACGCAUUAAGCACUCCGCCUGGGGAGUACGACCGCAAGGUUGAAACUCAAAGGAAUUGACGGGGACCCGCACAAGCGGUGGAGCAUGUGGUUUAAUUCGAAGCAACGCGAAGAACCUUACCAAAUCUUGACAUCCUUUGACAACUCUAGAGAUAGAGCUUUCCCCUUCGGGGGACAAAGUGACAGGUGGUGCAUGGUUGUCGUCAGCUCGUGUCGUGAGAUGUUGGGUUAAGUCCCGCAACGAGCGCAACCCUUAAGCUUAGUUGCCAUCAUUAAGUUGGGCACUCUAAGUUGACUGCCGGUGACAAACCGGAGGAAGGUGGGGAUGACGUCAAAUCAUCAUGCCCCUUAUGAUUUGGGCUACACACGUGCUACAAUGGACAAUACAAAGGGCAGCGAAACCGCGAGGUCAAGCAAAUCCCAUAAAGUUGUUCUCAGUUCGGAUUGUAGUCUGCAACUCGACUACAUGAAGCUGGAAUCGCUAGUAAUCGUAGAUCAGCAUGCUACGGUGAAUACGUUCCCGGG
This 1368-nucleotide ribosomal RNA is filed under the name uncultured bacterium. RNAcentral's name for it is "16S ribosomal RNA". It matches the Rfam family "Bacterial small subunit ribosomal RNA", at positions 28 to 1378 of the family's 1533-position model. The record is from RNAcentral.